This is a long non-coding RNA of Gossypium arboreum, 657 nucleotides long. RefSeq lists it as uncharacterized. The record is from RefSeq and is a predicted model, not a curated record. The transcript has 4 exons. NCBI's taxonomy places the organism in Eukaryota, Viridiplantae, Streptophyta, Magnoliopsida, Malvales, Malvaceae.
CUAAAAACCCUGAUUCUAUUCCCUUUGGUUUUAUCAAUCAAAAUCCCCUUCUCAUAAAGUUUCUCUCUUGAAGAUUUCAUGCCUACCCACCUUUAAUCUCAAGCAACGGAAGAGACGCGGUGUGCAAUUUGACUGUUCCACUUUCCUUUCAACGUUCAAUUAAAACCCUAGCCUCUUCCUUUUACUUCUAUCGGGGGGGGAAAGGGAAUCAUGUCUUUCGAUCUCAUAUGCUGAAGCCGUCCUGCAGCUGCUUCGGAUCCUCCCAAGAUCUAUACGGCUGAGGACCAAAAGAAGAAAUAUGAUGAGGAUCUAGUGAGUGGCUGUUCGAGAUUUCGCCCUCGCUGAUUCUCUACACUGCAAAUCCGUAAAAAGCCAGUGGACAAUGCCAGUGUUCUUGAUGCACGUUUGAAAACCAUUCUUGAAAAUGUUCGAUUGAAUUAUCUUUUAGAACGGGAGGAAGGUGGUUGGGAUGCUAAUCUCAAUUGGGAAGACAUCUUAUCGCUCGAAGAACAGCAGAGAUUAGGCAUGGCAAGGUUGUUCUUCCACACGCCUAAAUUUGGUAUCCUUGACGAGUGUACAAAUGCCACGAGUGUCAAUGUUGAGGAGCAACUUUAUAGACUGGCAAAAGAUUUGGGUAUUACUGUUAUUACCUAGUCA